Molecule: ribosomal RNA, 2250 nt
Filed under: Salmonella enterica subsp. enterica serovar Newport
Lineage: Bacteria; Pseudomonadati; Pseudomonadota; Gammaproteobacteria; Enterobacterales; Enterobacteriaceae
Description: partial 23S ribosomal RNA
Rfam family: Bacterial large subunit ribosomal RNA
Source: RNAcentral
AGACCCGAAACCCGGUGAUCUAGCCAUGGGCAGGUUGAAGGUUGGGUAACACUAACUGGAGGACCGAACCGACUAAUGUUGAAAAAUUAGCGGAUGACCUGUGGCUGGGGGUGAAAGGCCAAUCAAACCGGGAGAUAGCUGGUUCUCCCCGAAAGCUAUUUAGGUAGCGCCUCGUGAAUUCAUCUCCGGGGGUAGAGCACUGUUUCGGCUAGGGGGCCAUCCCGGCUUACCAACCCGAUGCAAACUGCGAAUACCGGAGAAUGUUAUCACGGGAGACACACGGCGGGUGCUAACGUCCGUCGUGAAGAGGGAAACAACCCAGACCGCCAGCUAAGGUCCCAAAGUCAUGGUUAAGUGGGAAACGAUGUGGGAAGGCCCAGACAGCCAGGAUGUUGGCUUAGAAGCAGCCAUCAUUUAAAGAAAGCGUAAUAGCUCACUGGUCGAGUCGGCCUGCGCGGAAGAUGUAACGGGGCUAAACCAUGCACCGAAGCUGCGGCAGCGACACUGUGUGUUGUUGGGUAGGGGAGCGUUCUGUAAGCCUGUGAAGGUGUGUCGUGAGGCAUGCUGGAGGUAUCAGAAGUGCGAAUGCUGACAUAAGUAACGAUAAAGCGGGUGAAAAGCCCGCUCGCCGGAAGACCAAGGGUUCCUGUCCAACGUUAAUCGGGGCAGGGUGAGUCGACCCCUAAGGCGAGGCCGAAAGGCGUAGUCGAUGGGAAACGGGUUAAUAUUCCCGUACUUGGUGUUACUGCGAAGGGGGGACGGAGAAGGCUAUGUUGGCCGGGCGACGGUUGUCCCGGUUUAAGCGUGUAGGUGUGUGUUCCAGGUAAAUCCGGUUCACUUUAACACUGAGGCGUGAUGACGAGGCACUACGGUGCUGAAGCAACAAAUGCCCUGCUUCCAGGAAAAGCCUCUAAGCAUCAGGUAACAUCAAAUCGUACCCCAAACCGACACAGGUGGUCAGGUAGAGAAUACCAAGGCGCUUGAGAGAACUCGGGUGAAGGAACUAGGCAAAAUGGUGCCGUAACUUCGGGAGAAGGCACGCUGACACGUAGGUGAAGUGAUUUACUCAUGGAGCUGAAGUCAGUCGAAGAUACCAGCUGGCUGCAACUGUUUAUUAAAAACACAGCACUGUGCAAACACGAAAGUGGACGUAUACGGUGUGACGCCUGCCCGGUGCCGGAAGGUUAAUUGAUGGGGUCAGCGCAAGCGAAGCUCCUGAUCGAAGCCCCGGUAAACGGCGGCCGUAACUAUAACGGUCCUAAGGUAGCGAAAUUCCUUGUCGGGUAAGUUCCGACCUGCACGAAUGGCGUAAUGAUGGCCAGGCUGUCUCCACCCGAGACUCAGUGAAAUUGAACUCGCUGUGAAGAUGCAGUGUACCCGCGGCAAGACGGAAAGACCCCGUGAACCUUUACUAUAGCUUGACACUGAACAUUGAGCCUUGAUGUGUAGGAUAGGUGGGAGGCUUUGAAGCGUGGACGCCAGUCUGCGUGGAGCCGACCUUGAAAUACCACCCUUUAAUGUUUGAUGUUCUAACGUGGACCCGUGAUCCGGGUUGCGGACAGUGUCUGGUGGGUAGUUUGACUGGGGCGGUCUCCUCCUAAAGAGUAACGGAGGAGCACGAAGGUUGGCUAAUCCUGGUCGGACAUCAGGAGGUUAGUGCAAUGGCAUAAGCCAGCUUGACUGCGAGCGUGACGGCGCGAGCAGGUGCGAAAGCAGGUCAUAGUGAUCCGGUGGUUCUGAAUGGAAGGGCCAUCGCUCAACGGAUAAAAGGUACUCCGGGGAUAACAGGCUGAUACCGCCCAAGAGUUCAUAUCGACGGCGGUGUUUGGCACCUCGAUGUCGGCUCAUCACAUCCUGGGGCUGAAGUAGGUCCCAAGGGUAUGGCUGUUCGCCAUUUAAAGUGGUACGCGAGCUGGGUUUAGAACGUCGUGAGACAGUUCGGUCCCUAUCUGCCGUGGGCGCUGGAGAACUGAGGGGGGCUGCUCCUAGUACGAGAGGACCGGAGUGGACGCAUCACUGGUGUUCGGGUUGUCAUGCCAAUGGCACUGCCCGGUAGCUAAAUGCGGAAGAGAUAAGUGCUGAAAGCAUCUAAGCACGAAACUUGCCCCGAGAUGAGUUCUCCCUGAGACUUAAAGUCUCCUGAAGGAACGUUGAAGACGACGACGUUGAUAGGCCGGGUGUGUAAGCGCAGCGAUGCGUUGAGCUAACCGGUACUAAUGAACCGUGAGGCUUAACCUUACAACGCCGAAG